CGGACGUGAGUAACCUGCCUUGGAGAGGGGAAUAACACAUCGAAAGAUGUGCUAAUACCGCAUGAAAUGUCUGAAUCGCAUGGUUCUGGGACAUCAAAGAUUUAUCGCUCUGAGAUGGACUCGCGUCUGAUUAGCUGGUUGGCGGGGUAACGGCCCACCAAGGCGACGAUGCGUAGGGGUUCUGAGAGGAAGGUCCCCCACACUGGUACUGAGACACGGACCAGACUCCUACGGGAGGCAGCAG
RNAcentral lists this ribosomal RNA (244 nucleotides) under uncultured bacterium. Its description in RNAcentral is "partial 16S ribosomal RNA". It matches the Rfam family "Bacterial small subunit ribosomal RNA", at positions 112 to 354 of the family's 1533-position model. The record is from RNAcentral.